Molecule: ribosomal RNA, 433 nt
Filed under: uncultured bacterium
Lineage: Bacteria
Description: partial 16S ribosomal RNA
Rfam family: Bacterial small subunit ribosomal RNA
Source: RNAcentral
AGCGAACGCUGGCGGCAGGCCUAACACAUGCAAGUCGAACGAACUCUUCGGAGUUAGUGGCGGACGGGUGAGUAACACGUGGGAACGUGCCUUUAGGUUCGGAAUAACUCAGGGAAACUUGAGCUAAUACCGGAUGUGCCCUUCGGGGGAAAGAUUUAUCGCCUUUAGAGCGGCCCGCGUCUGAUUAGCUAGUUGGUGAGGUAAAGGCUCACCAAGGCGACGAUCAGUAGCUGGUCCGAGAGGAUGAUCAGCCACAUUGGGACUGAGACACGGCCCAAACUCCUACGGGAGGCAGCAGUGGGGAAUCUUGCGCAAUGGGCGAAAGCCUGACGCAGCCAUGCCGCGUGAAUGAUGAAGGUCUUAGGAUUGUAAAAUUCUUUCACCGGGGACGAUAAUGACGGUACCCGGAGAAGAAGCCCCGGCUAACUUCGUG